AAAAUAAAUGUAUGCACAAUGGCGCACGCGCACAGCCGGUUUGGGUUCCGUGUAAGGAAAGUCGCUAUUGGCUGUCCUAAAAGUCAUCGCCUAAUUUGCAUAAUUGUGCAUGUAAUUGUGAUGGACGCUGUAGGAGAGAGGAAUAACGUCGUGGGAGAGACAAAAAGUGAGUAAAAAAAAAAACCUAAAUAUGUUUAGAACUACAAAUAAGGAAGCUGCAGAGAGUGGCACACACAGUGAAUAAGAACCAGAUAUUUGAGGCCAUACACCUCCUUCAGCACAUUGUUAAUCUCAGUCAUAACAGAGGCAUUGUCAGUCCCUAUCCCCAGGAGUUUUUCUUUUUUAAGACAACACUUCUCGAGGAAAGCCACAACAGCACGUGCUAUGGAUUUGGCAUCUCCUCCCUCCAACUCAACAAGCCCCAGAAAUGUUGAUACAAUUGUCUUCUUGGUGCCACUAAAGUACCUUAUCACAACCCCCAGGUACUUACAUCCGUGGACUCAUCGAGGAGGAGGCUGAAAUGCUGGUUACCCACAUCUGCGACCAACUUUUUCAUAAAGACCAUGCCUCAGGACUACCUGGACUGAUGACUCCUUGCAGUCCCCAGUCCACCUGGUCGUGCUGCUGCUCCAGUUUCAACUGUUCUGCCUGCACCUACCGCACCUGCUGUCUCUUAACUAUUGAAUGCUCAGCCAUGAAAAGCCAACUGACAUUUACUCCUGAGGUGCUGACUUGUUGCACUCUCUACAACCACUGUGAUCAUUAUUUGACCCUGCAGGUCGUUAUGAACGUUUGAACAUAUUGGCCAUGUACUGUUAUAAUCUCCAACCGGCACAGCCAGAAGAGGACUGGCCACCCCUCAGAGCCUGGUUUCUUCCUAGGUUCCUACCUUUCUAGCAAGUUUUUCCUAGCUACCGUGCUUCUACAUCUGCAUUGCUUGCUGUUUGGGGUUUUCGGCUGGGUUUUUGUAUGGCACUUUGUGACAUCGGCUGAUGUAAAAAGGGCUUUAUAAAUACAUUUGAUUGAUUUAAGACCUCAUGAUAACCUGGUAGUGACCUCCAGACUGUAGAGUAUUACCUACUGUAUAAAGUAUUGCAGAUGAUAAAGUUGGAUAUUGAAAACAUUGUUCAUUACGGUUCUAUUUGUUUCUAUAGGCACCAAUUAAAGUUAAAAUCAGCAACAUA
Long non-coding RNA from Salmo salar (Atlantic salmon), 1184 nucleotides. RefSeq lists it as uncharacterized. The record is from RefSeq and is a predicted model, not a curated record. NCBI's taxonomy places the organism in Eukaryota, Metazoa, Chordata, Actinopteri, Salmoniformes, Salmonidae.